Molecule: ribosomal RNA, 1264 nt
Filed under: uncultured microorganism
Description: bacterial SSU rRNA
Rfam family: Bacterial small subunit ribosomal RNA
Source: RNAcentral
AGUCCGCGGACUAUUAGCUAGUUGGUGAGGUAAAGGCCCACCAAGGCGACGAUAGGUAGCCGGACUGAGAGCAAGGCCGACAAAACCACGACGGAGACACAACCCAGACUCCCACGGGAGGCAGCAGUGGGGAAUAUUGCGCAAUGGGGGAAACCCUGACGCAGCGACCCCGCGUAAAGGAAGAAGGCUUUCGGGUUGUAACUCCUUGGAUUGGGGACGAAGAAAGUGACGGUACCCAAGGAACAAGCCACGGCUAACUACGUGCCAGCAGCCGCGGUAAUACGUAGGUGGCGAGCGUAGUCCGGAAUUACUGGGUGUAAAGGGCGUGUAGGCGGGACUGCAAGUCAAAUGUGAAAUAUCACGGCUCAACCGUGGGGCUGCAUCUGAACUGUAGUUCUUGAGUACGGGAGAGGGAAGCGGAAUUCCUAGUGUAGCGGUGAAAUGCGUAGAUAUUAGGAGGAACACCAGUGGCGAAGGCGGCUUCCUGGACAGAGACUGACGCUGAGGCGCGAAAGCGUGGGGAGCGAACAGGAUUAGAUACCCUGGUAGUCCACGCUGUAAACGAUGGAUACUAGGUGUAGGAGGUAUCGACCCCUUCUGUGCCGGAGUUAACACAAUAAGUAUCCCACCUGGGGAGUACGGCCGCAAGGUUGAAACUCAAAGGAAUUGACGGGGGCCCGCACAAGCAGUGGAGUAUGUGGUUUAAUUCGAAGCAACGCGAAGAACCUUACCAGGGCUUGACAUCCCUUGGCGACACAAGAGAUUGUGUUUUCCUACGGGACAAGGAGACAGGUGGUGCAUGGUUGUCGUCACCUCGUGUCGUGAGAUGUUGGGUUAAGUCCCGCAACGAGCGCAACCCCUGUUGUUAGUUGCCAUCAAGUAAAGCUGGCCACUCUAACGAGACUGCCCGUGACAAAUCGGAGGAAGGUGGGGAUGACGUCAAAUCAUCAUGCCCCUUAUGUCCUGGGCGACACACGUACUACAAUGGCUACAACAGAAGGAAGCGAUACCGUAAGGUGGAGCAAAUCCAGAAAAAGUAGUCCCAGUUCGGAUUGAGGGCUGAAACUCGCCCUCAUGAAGUCGAAAUUGCUAGUAAUGGAAGGUCGGCAUACUGCCCUGAAUACGUUCCCGGCCCUUGCACACACCGCCCGUCACACCAUGAGAGUCGACAACACCCGAAGACAGCAGCAUAACCUGUAUUUAUAUGGGGGAGCGCUGCCGAAGGUGGGGCCGAUGAUUGGGGUGAAGUCGUAACAAGGUAACC